GGUACUUAUUAGAUACAGAGCCAUUCGUUUAACGAUUACUUGGUGAGUCAUAAUAAUUUAUCGAAUCGUACGGUUACUUACCGACGAUGGGUCAUUCAAAUUUCUGCCCUAUCAGCUGUGAUGUUAGUGUAUUGUACUAACAUGGCUUAAACGGGUGACGGAGGAUUAGGGUCUGAUUCCGGAGAGGGAGCCUGAGAAACGGCUACCACUUCCAAGGAAGGCAGCAGGCGCGUAAAUUACCCAAUCCCAAUACGGGGAGGUAGUGACAAGAAAUAACAAUACCGGGCUUUUACAAGUCUGGUAAUUGGAAUGAGUACAAUGUAAAACCCUUAACGAGGAUCUAUUGGAGGGCAAGUCUGGUGCCAGCAGCCGCGGUAAUACCAGCUCCAAAAGCGUAUAUUAAAGUUGUUGCAGUUAAAAAGCUCGUAGUUGGAUUUGUGGGUUUGCGCUUGGUUCAAUUUUGAUACCGUAGCGUGGACCCAUCCUUGGGUGGAACCUGUGUGGCAUUAGGUUGUCGUGCAGGGGGAUGCCCAUCGUUUACUGUGAAAAAAUCAGCGCGUUCAAAGCAGGCUUAUG
This 576-nucleotide ribosomal RNA is filed under the name uncultured eukaryote. RNAcentral describes it as "bacterial SSU rRNA". It matches the Rfam family "Eukaryotic small subunit ribosomal RNA", at positions 202 to 790 of the family's 1831-position model. The record is from RNAcentral.